GUUUGAUCCUGGCUCAGAAUGAACGCUGGCGGCGUGCUUAACACAUGCAAGUCGCACGAGAACUCUUCUGCUUGCAGAAGAUAGUAAAGUGGCGAACGGGUGAGUAACGCGUGGGUUAUCUACCUCCGAAUCGGGGAUAACUCGCCGAAAGGCGGGCUAAUACCGGAUAAUAUCUUUUAUGCUUCGGCGCAUUAGAUCAAAAGUGGCCUCUACAUGUAAGCUACUGUUUGGAGAUGAGCCCGCGUACCAUUAGCUAGUUGGUAGGGUAAUGGCCUACCAAGGCGACGAUGGUUAGCUGGUCUGAGAGGAUGAUCAGCCACACUGGAACUGACACACGGUCCAGACUCCUACGGGAGGCAGCAGUGAGGAAUUUUGCGCAAUGGGGGAAACCCUGACGCAGCAACGCCGCGUGAGUGAUGAAGGCUUUCGGGUCGUAAAGCUCUGUCAAGUGGGAAGAACAUGUUCGAUAUUAAUACCACCGUGCACUGACGGUACCACUGAAGGAAGCACCGGCUAACUCCGUGCCAGCAGCCGCGGUAAUACGGGGGGUGCAAGCGUUAUUCGGAAUCAUUGGGCGUAAAGGGCGCGCAGGCGGCCUCUUAAGUCAGACGUGAAAGCCCGGGGCUCAACCCCGGAAGUGCAUUUGAAACUAAGGGACUUGAGUAUGGGAGAGGGAAAGUGGAAUUCCUGGUGUAGAGGUGAAAUUCGUAGAUAUUGGGAGGAACACCUGUGGCGAAGGCGACUUUCUGGAUCGAUACUGACGCUGAGACGCGAAAGCGUGGGGAGCAAACAGGAUUAGAUACCCUGGUAGUCCACGCCGUAAACGAUGGGAACUAGGUGUAGCGGGUAUUGAUCCCUGCUGUGCCGAAGCUAACGCAUUAAGUUCCCCGCCUGGGGAGUACGGUCGCAAGGCUAAAACU
RNAcentral lists this ribosomal RNA (920 nucleotides) under uncultured bacterium. RNAcentral's name for it is "bacterial SSU rRNA". It matches the Rfam family "Bacterial small subunit ribosomal RNA", at positions 11 to 901 of the family's 1533-position model. The record is from RNAcentral.